This 382-nucleotide ribosomal RNA is filed under the name uncultured eukaryote. RNAcentral's name for it is "partial 18S ribosomal RNA". It matches the Rfam family "Eukaryotic small subunit ribosomal RNA", at positions 592 to 976 of the family's 1831-position model. The record is from RNAcentral.
CAAUAGCGUAUAUUAAAGUUGUUGCAGUUAAAAAGCUCGUAGUUGGAUUUCUGGUGAGAUGGAUUAUGUCUAGGUCGAAAGAUCUUGUUCAUGGUUCGUUUUGCCCUUCUUGUCAGGAACCCGCUGAGAUUCGCGUCUUGUCGGUGGAAUGGCAUCGUUUACUGUGAAAAAAUUAGAGUGUUCAAAGCAGGCAUCGCCGUUGAAUACAUUAGCAUGGAAUAAUAAGAUAAGACUUUGGUGGUCUAUUUUGUUGGUUUGCACGCCAAAGUAAUGAUUAAUAGGGAUAGUUGGGGGCAUUCGUAUUCUAUUGCUAGAGGUGAAAUUCUUAAAUUUAUGGAAGACGAACUACUGCGAAAGCAUUUACCAAGGAUGUUUUCAUUAA